UACGUAGGGUGCAAGCGUUGUCCGGAAUUAUUGGGCGUAAAGAGCUCGUAGGCGGUCUGUCGCGUCCGCUGUGAAAAUCCAGGGCUCAACCCUGGACCUGCAGUGGGUACGGGCAGACUAGAGUGCGGUAGGGGAGUCUGGAAUUCCUGGUGUAGCGGUGAAAUGCGCAGAUAUCAGGAGGAACACCGGUGGCGAAGGCGGGACUCUGGGCCGAUACUGACGCUGAGGAGCGAAAGCGUGGGGAGCAAACAGG
Molecule: ribosomal RNA, 253 nt
Filed under: uncultured bacterium
Lineage: Bacteria
Description: partial 16S ribosomal RNA
Rfam family: Bacterial small subunit ribosomal RNA
Source: RNAcentral